RNAcentral lists this ribosomal RNA (253 nucleotides) under uncultured bacterium. RNAcentral's name for it is "partial 16S ribosomal RNA". It matches the Rfam family "Bacterial small subunit ribosomal RNA", at positions 524 to 776 of the family's 1533-position model. The record is from RNAcentral.
UACGUAGGGUGCGAGCGUUAAUCGGAAUUACUGGGCGUAAAGCGUGCGUAGGCGGUUCUCCAAGUCCGUUGUGAAAGCCCUGGGCUCAACCUGGGAAUGGCAUUGGAUACUGGCGAUCUAGAGUGCGGUAGAGGGCAGUGGAAUUCCCGGUGUAGCAGUGAAAUGCGUAGAGAUCGGGAGGAACAUCUGUGGCGAAGGCGACUGCCUGGACCAGCACUGACACUGAGGCACGAAAGCGUGGGGAGCAAACGGG